This 253-nucleotide ribosomal RNA is filed under the name uncultured bacterium. Its description in RNAcentral is "partial 16S ribosomal RNA". It matches the Rfam family "Bacterial small subunit ribosomal RNA", at positions 524 to 776 of the family's 1533-position model. The record is from RNAcentral.
UACGGAGGAUGCAAGCGUUAUCCGGAAUGAUUGGGCGUAAAGCGUCCGCAGGUGGCAGUUCAAGUCUGCUGUCAAAGACCGGGGCUUAACUUCGGAAAGGCAGUGGAAACUGAACAGCUAGAGUAUGGUAGGGGCAGAGGGAAUUCCUGGUGUAGCGGUGAAAUGCGUAGAGAUCAGGAAGAACAUCGGUGACGAAGGCGCUCUGCUGGACCAUAACUGACACUCAGGGACGAAAGCUAGGGGAGCGAAUGGG